Acanthosepion pharaonis is the source of this 107-nucleotide non-coding RNA. Lineage: Eukaryota; Metazoa; Mollusca; Cephalopoda; Sepiida; Sepiidae. The record is from the annotation of a GenBank genome assembly.
CUAUAUCACGUUGAAACACCAGUUCCCGUAAGAUCACCGUAGUUAAGCAACGGUGAGUAUGGUCAGUACCUACUGGGCUGAUCGCUUGGGAAUAUCAGCUGCUGCAA